UUGGCUUAGAAGCAGCCAUCCUUGAAAGAGUGCGUAAUAGCUCACUGGUCAAGUGGUUCUGCGCCGACAAUGUAGCGGGGCUCAAGCGUACCGCCGAAGCUGUGGCAACAACACGCGAUGCUGGCGCCAGGAACUGGAGUGCUGGUGUGUUGUUGGGUAGGGGAGCGUCCUGCACGAGGUGAAGCCUGGAGGGAACUUCUGGUGGAUUGUGUGGGAGUGAGAAUGCAGGCAUGAGUAACGAAUCUGCGGUGAGAAUCCGCAGCGCCGAUUGACUAAGGGUUCCAGGGCUAGGUUUAUCCGCCCUGGGUUAGUCGGGUCCUAAGGCGAGGCCGACAGGCGUAGUCGAUGGACAACCAGUUGAUAUUCUGGUACCGCGUUAUGACCGCCCAUGCUGAAGUCAUUGUGCUAACCAAUCUGCCCGCGCACCCUUGUGGCUUUCGGGCUGCGAGCGUGUGUGUGGGUCUUGGGGCCCCGGUGAUGGUAGGCAAGCGUGUUAACAGGGGUGACGCAGACAGGUAGCUGCAGUGCGCCGAUGGUUGAGCGUAUUUAAGGUUGUGGCCCGCCGCCCAGGUAAAUCCGGGUGGCACGAGGGGUGAGAACUGAUGAGGGACACACGCGUGUGUGGACUUGUGGUGAUCCUAUGCUGCCGAGAAAAGCCUCGACGUGAGGGCAUGACGCGCCCGUACCCUAAACCGACUCAGGUGGUCAGGUAGAGUAUACCGAGGCGUUCGAGUGAAUCGUGGUUAAGGAACUCGGCAAAAUUCCUCCGUAACUUCGGGAUAAGGAGGACCCCGUGACUUCCCCACGCCAAGCGUGUGGGUGGGGUUGUGGGGUCGCAGAGAAUAGGGAGAAGCGACUGUUUAUCAAAAACACAGGUGCGUGCGAAGCCGUAAGGCGAUGUAUACGCACUGACGCCUGCCCGGUGCUGGAAGGUUAAGAGGAACCGUCAACACCCCUUGUGGGUGUGAAGCGGUGAAUUUAAGCCCCAGUAAACGGCGGUGGUAACUAUAACCAUCCUAAGGUAGCGAAAUUCCUUGUCGGGUAAGUUCCGACCUGCACGAAUGGCGUAACGACUUCUCCGCUGUCUCAACCGCGAACUCGGUGAAAUUGCAGUACGAGUAAAGAUGCUCGUUUCGCGCAGAAGGACGGAAAGACCCCGGGACCUUUACUAUAGCUUGGUAUUGGUGUUCGCUUGGACUUGUGUAGGAUAGGUGGGAGACUGUGAAGCUGCCGCGCCAGCGGUGGUGGAGUCGUCGUUGAAAUACCAUUCUGGUUCAAGCGGUCACCUCAACCUAGACCCGUGAUCCGGGUUGGGGACAGUGCCUGGUGGGUAGUUUAACUGGGGCGGUUGCCUCCUAAAAUGUAACGGAGGCGCUCAAAGGUUCCCUCAGCCUGGUUGGUAAUCAGGUGGCGAGUGCAAGUGUACAAGGGAGCUUGACUGUGAGACCGACGGGUCGAGCAGGUGCGAAAGCAGGAACUAGUGAUCCGGCCAUGGCACGUGGGUGCGUGGUCGCUCAACGGAUAAAAGGUACCCCGGGGAUAACAGGCUGAUCUUGCCCAAGAGUCCAUAUCGACGGCAUGGUUUGGCA
Molecule: ribosomal RNA, 1589 nt
Filed under: human oral metagenome
Description: bacterial LSU rRNA
Rfam family: Bacterial large subunit ribosomal RNA
Source: RNAcentral